RNAcentral lists this ribosomal RNA (710 nucleotides) under uncultured bacterium. RNAcentral describes it as "bacterial SSU rRNA". It matches the Rfam family "Bacterial small subunit ribosomal RNA", at positions 94 to 823 of the family's 1533-position model. The record is from RNAcentral.
AGCGGCGGACGGGUGAGUAACGCGUGGGUAACCUGCCCUGUACACACGGAUAACAUACCGAAAGGUAUGCUAAUACGAGAUAAUAUACUUUUAUCGCAUGGUAGAAGUAUCAAAGCUCCGGCGGUACAGGAUGGACCCGCGUCUGAUUAGCUAGUUGGUAAGGUAACGGCUUACCAAGGCGACGAUCAGUAGCCGACCUGAGAGGGCGAUCGGCCACAUUGGAACUGAGACACGGUCCAAACUCCUACGGGAGGCAGCAGUGGGGAAUAUUGCACAAUGGGCGAAAGCCUGAUGCAGCAACGCCGCGUGAGCGAUGAAGGCCUUCGGGUCGUAAAGCUCUGUCCUCAAGGAAGAUAAUGACGGUACUUGAGGAGGAAGCCCCGGCUAACUACGUGCCAGCAGCCGCGGUAAUACGUAGGGGGCUAGCGUUAUCCGGAAUUACUGGGCGUAAAGGGUGCGUAGGUGGUUUCUUAAGUCAGAGGUGAAAGGCUACGGCUCAACCGUAGUAAGCCUUUGAAACUGGGAAACUUGAGUGCAGGAGAGGAGAGUGGAAUUCCUAGUGUAGCGGUGAAAUGCGUAGAUAUUAGGAGGAACACCAGUUGCGAAGGCGGCUCUCUGGACUGUAACUGACACUGAGGCACGAAAGCGUGGGGAGCAAACAGGAUUAGAUACCCUGGUAGUCCACGCCGUAAACGAUGAGUACUAGCUGU